GAAAGCCUGAUGCAGCAACGCCGCGUGAGGGAUGACGGCCUUCGGGUUGUAAACCUCUUUUAGCAGGGAAGAAGCGAAAGUGACGGUACCUGCAGAAAAAGCACCGGCUAACUACGUGCCAGCAGCCGCGGUAAUACGUAGGGUGCGAGCGUUGUCCGGAAUUAUUGGGCGUAAAGAGCUUGUAGGCGGUCUGUCGCGUCUGCUGUGAAAACCCGAGGCUCAACCUCGGGCCUGCAGUGGGUACGGGCAGACUAGAGUGCGGUAGGGGAGAACGGAACUCCUGGUGUAGCGGUGGAAUGCGCAGAUAUCAGGAAGAACACCGAUGGCGAAGGCAGUUCUCUGGGCCGUAACUGACGCUGAGAAGCGAAAGCGUGGGGAGCGAACAGGAUUAGAUACCCUGGUAGUCCACGCCGUAAACGUUGGGCGCUAGAUGUGGGGACCAUUCCACGGUUUCCGUGUCGUAGCUAACGCAUUAAGCGCCCCGCCUGGGGAGUACGGCCGCAAGGCUAAAACUCAAAGGAAUUGACGGGGGCCCGCACAAGCGGCGGAGCAUGCGGAUUAAUUCGAUGCAACGCGAAGAACCUUACCAAGGCUUGACAUAUACCGGAAACGGCCAGAGAUGGUCGCCCCCUUGUGGUCGGUAUACAGGUGGUGCAUGGUUGUCGUCAGCUCGUGUCGUGAGAUGUUGGGUUAAGUCCCGCAACGAGCGCAACCCUCGUUCUAUGUUGCCAGCGGUUCGGCCGGGAACUCAUAGGAGACUGCCGGGGUCAACUCGGAGGAAGGUGGGGAUGACGUCAAAUCAUCAUGCCCCUUAUGUCUUGGGCUUCACGCAUGCUACAAUGGCCGGUACAAAGGGCUGCGAUGCCGUAAGGCGGAGCGAAUCCCAAAAAGCCGGUCUCAGUUCGGAUUGAGGUCUGCAACUCGACCUCAUGAAGUCGGAGUCGCUAGUAAUCGCAGAUCAGCAACGCUGCGGUGAAUACGUUCCCGGGCCUUGUACACACCGCCCGUCAAGUCAUGAAAGUCGGUAACAC
This 1031-nucleotide ribosomal RNA is filed under the name Microbacteriaceae bacterium. RNAcentral describes it as "bacterial SSU rRNA". It matches the Rfam family "Bacterial small subunit ribosomal RNA", at positions 377 to 1420 of the family's 1533-position model. Lineage: Bacteria; Bacillati; Actinomycetota; Actinomycetes; Micrococcales; Microbacteriaceae. The record is from RNAcentral.